Molecule: ribosomal RNA, 468 nt
Filed under: uncultured bacterium
Lineage: Bacteria
Description: partial 16S ribosomal RNA
Rfam family: Bacterial small subunit ribosomal RNA
Source: RNAcentral
GACGAACGCUGGCGGCGUGCUUAACACAUGCAAGUCGAACGGAAAGGCCCUGCCUUUGUGGGGUGCUCGAGUGGCGAACGGGUGAGUAACACGUGAGUAACCUGCCCUUGACUUUGGGAUAACUUCAGGAAACUGGGGCUAAUACCGGAUAGGAGCUCCUGCUGCAUGGUGGGGGUUGGAAAGUUUCGGCGGUUGGGGAUGGACUCGCGGCUUAUCAGCUUGUUGGUGGGGUAGUGGCUUACCAAGGCUUUGACGGGUAGCCGGCCUGAGAGGGUGAGCGGCCACAUUGGGACUGAGAUACGGCCCAGACUCCUGCGGGGGGGAGCAGUGGAGAAUAGUGCACAAUGGGCGGAAGCGUGAUGCAGCAACGCCGCGUGCGGGAUGACGGCCUUCGGGUUGUAAACCGCUUUCGCCUGUGACGAAGCGUGAGUGACGGUAAUUGGUAAAGAAGCACCGGCUAACUACGUG